AAAUUGAAGAGUUUGAUCAUGGCUCAGAUUGAACGCUGGCGGCAGGCCUAACACAUGCAAGUCGAGCGGUAGCACAGAGAGCUUGCUCUCGGGUGACGAGCGGCGGACGGGUGAGUAAUGUCUGGGAAACUGCCUGAUGGAGGGGGAUAACUACUGGAAACGGUAGCUAAUACCGCAUAACGUCGCAAGACCAAAGUGGGGGACCUUCGGGCCUCAUGCCAUCAGAUGUGCCCAGAUGGGAUUAGCUAGUAGGUGGGGUAACGGCUCACCUAGGCGACGAUCCCUAGCUGGUCUGAGAGGAUGACCAGCCACACUGGAACUGAGACACGGUCCAGACUCCUACGGGAGGCAGCAGUGGGGAAUAUUGCACAAUGGGCGCAAGCCUGAUGCAGCCAUGCCGCGUGUGUGAAGAAGGCCUUCGGGUUGUAAAGCACUUUCAGCGGGGAGGAAGGCGAUAAGGUUAAUAACCUCAUCGAUUGACGUUACCCGCAGAAGAAGCACCGGCUAACUCCGUGCCAGCAGCCGCGGUAAUACGGAGGGUGCAAGCGUUAAUCGGAAUUACUGGGCGUAAAGCGCACGCAGGCGGUCUGUCAAGUCGGAUGUGAAAUCCCCGGGCUCAACCUGGGAACUGCAUUCGAAACUGGCAGGCUAGAGUCUUGUAGAGGGGGGUAGAAUUCCAGGUGUAGCGGUGAAAUGCGUAGAGAUCUGGAGGAAUACCGGUGGCGAAGGCGGCCCCCUGGACAAAGACUGACGCUCAGGUGCGAAAGCGUGGGGAGCAAACAGGAUUAGAUACCCUGGUAGUCCACGCCGUAAACGAUGUCGAUUUGGAGGUUGUGCCCUUGAGGCGUGGCUUCCGGAGCUAACGCGUUAAAUCGACCGCCUGGGGAGUACGGCCGCAAGGUUAAAACUCAAAUGAAUUGACGGGGGCCCGCACAAGCGGUGGAGCAUGUGGUUUAAUUCGAUGCAACGCGAAGAACCUUACCUGGUCUUGACAUCCACAGAACUUUCCAGAGAUGGAUUGGUGCCUUCGGGAACUGUGAGACAGGUGCUGCAUGGCUGUCGUCAGCUCGUGUUGUGAAAUGUUGGGUUAAGUCCCGCAACGAGCGCAACCCUUAUCCUUUGUUGCCAGCGGUCCGGCCGGGAACUCAAAGGAGACUGCCAGUGAUAAACUGGAGGAAGGUGGGGAUGACGUCAAGUCAUCAUGGCCCUUACGACCAGGGCUACACACGUGCUACAAUGGCAUAUACAAAGAGAAGCGACCUCGCGAGAGCAAGCGGACCUCAUAAAGUAUGUCGUAGUCCGGAUUGGAGUCUGCAACUCGACUCCAUGAAGUCGGAAUCGCUAGUAAUCGUAGAUCAGAAUGCUACGGUGAAUACGUUCCCGGGCCUUGUACACACCGCCCGUCACACCAUGGGAGUGGGUUGCAAAAGAAGUAGGUAGCUUAACCUUCGGGAGGGCGCUUACCACUUUGUGAUUCAUGACUGGGGUGAAGUCGUAACAAGGUAACCGUAGGGGAACCUGCGGUUGGAUCACCUCCUUA
Molecule: ribosomal RNA, 1540 nt
Filed under: Klebsiella pneumoniae
Lineage: Bacteria; Pseudomonadati; Pseudomonadota; Gammaproteobacteria; Enterobacterales; Enterobacteriaceae
Also listed under: 1 other name
Description: bacterial SSU rRNA
Rfam family: Bacterial small subunit ribosomal RNA
Source: RNAcentral